Molecule: long non-coding RNA, 568 nt
Filed under: Anas platyrhynchos platyrhynchos (common mallard)
Lineage: Eukaryota; Metazoa; Chordata; Aves; Anseriformes; Anatidae
Description: lncRNA (ENSAPLG00000030996.1)
Source: RNAcentral
AUGUGGGGAACAGGCCAGGGGCAGGACCCAGUCAUGCAGGGGUGCUGGCCCCAGGUUGUCUCCAGGAGCUCCUCCAUUAGAUUGCGUUGCUGGAAUAAAUGUUCUCCACCCCACUACCCUUCUCUAAGGAGUGCCACAAACCAGUGGCCUGCCUGGUUAUGCUUGUACCUGAUCCAAUCCACUGGCAGCGUUCCCCAAGUGACACAAAUACUACAGCAGAGGAGGAGAGGAAAAUAUCUCAAGCUGAGUGCAGUCGUCAAGAUGUCUGGGCAUUUACAAGAAGACAACAACAACAGCAACAUCAUAACAUGGCAGCAACCACUGGGAUUGCUUAGGACACCUCAGGGAGUGACAGAUACUUGCCCUCUCCCUGAGAAAAGGACACAAAUUAGCUGUUCAGUUUCCACUGCAUGGGAACUCUUCAGUGGAAAGAUAAAGUUUGAGACCAGAAGAAUCAUCAUGGCCAUCUUAUUUAUACCUCACGGUCUAUUCAGUUAUGUUUGCUACUUUGGUACAGUGACAUCAUGAAAUUAAUAAAAUGGGCUGAAGCACAUUUUCUAUAAAAGGA